AGUGAACGCUGGCGGUAGGCCUAACACAUGCAAGUCGAACGGCAGCACAGUAAGAGCUUGCUCUUACGGGUGGCGAGUGGCGGACGGGUGAGGAAUACAUCGGAAUCUACUUUUUCGUGGGGGAUAACGUAGGGAAACUUACGCUAAUACCGCAUACGACCUACGGGUGAAAGCAGGGGAUCUUCGGACCUUUCGCGAUUGAAUGAGCCGAUGUCGGAUUAGCUAGUUGGCGGGGUAAAGGCCCACCAAGGCGACGAUCCGUAGCUGGUCUGAGAGGAUGAUCAGCCACACUGGAACUGAGACACGGUCCAGACUCCUACGGGAGGCAGCAGUGGGGAAUAUUGGACAAUGGGCGCAAGCCUGAUCCAGCCAUACCGCGUGGGUGAAGAAGGACUUCGGGUUGUAAAGCCCUUUUGUUGGGAAAGAAAAGCAGCAGGUUAAUACCCCGCUGUUCUGACGGUACCCAAAGAAUAAGCACCGGCUAACUUCGUG
Molecule: ribosomal RNA, 492 nt
Filed under: uncultured bacterium
Lineage: Bacteria
Description: partial 16S ribosomal RNA
Rfam family: Bacterial small subunit ribosomal RNA
Source: RNAcentral